Molecule: ribosomal RNA, 500 nt
Filed under: uncultured bacterium
Lineage: Bacteria
Description: partial 16S ribosomal RNA
Rfam family: Bacterial small subunit ribosomal RNA
Source: RNAcentral
AUUGAACGCUGGCGGCAUGCCUUACACAUGCAAGUCGAACGGCAGCACGGGAGCAAUCCUGGUGGCGAGUGGCGAACGGGUGAGUAAAGUAUCGGAACGUGCCCAGUCGUGGGGGAUAACGUAGCGAAAGUUACGCUAAUACCGCAUACGAUCUAUGGAUGAAAGCGGGGGAUCGCAAGACCUCGAGCGAUUGGAGCGGCCGAUAGCAGAUUAGGUAGUUGGUGGGGUAAAGGCUCACCAAGCCGACGAUCUGUAGCUGGUCUGAGAGGACGACCAGCCACACUGGGACUGAGACACGGCCCAGACUCCUACGGGAGGCAGCAGUGGGGAAUUUUGGACAAUGGGCGAAAGCCUGAUCCAGCCAUGCCGCGUGCAGGAUGAAGGCCUUCGGGUUGUAAACUGCUUUUGUACGGAACGAAAAGGUUUGGCCUAAUAAGCUGAGCUCAUGACGGUACCGUAAGAAUAAGCACCGGCUAACUACGUGCCAGCCGCCGCGGUAA